Long non-coding RNA from Eurytemora carolleeae, 397 nucleotides. RefSeq lists it as uncharacterized. The record is from RefSeq and is a predicted model, not a curated record. The transcript is spliced from 3 exons. NCBI's taxonomy places the organism in Eukaryota, Metazoa, Arthropoda, Copepoda, Calanoida, Temoridae.
AGAUAAAAAAAUCAUUUUGAUAAUGAAACUUUUUGUUAGAUUUGGAAUAUUUUCGUUGAUUCUAACUUUACUCUAUAUCUUGAUAGUUUUAGAUAACUCAGAGAAUUACUUACUAUGUGGCAACAAAGAAACCUGGAGCCCUGAAAAAAUAUCAAGCCUGAAAAAUCAAUCUAACCCUGAACCAGGAAACAAAAUAAAGACUAAUCCAGUUCACAAAAUUGUUCAUGAAGAUGUUUACCCUACCGGGGUUAGGAUUAUAGAUCUUCAAAACUUCACUCUCAAAAUAAACUUUGACAUUUGCAAUGUUUCCAAAAUAGCUCUUGUUGUUUUGGUUCAUUCCUCUCCAAAUAAUCUAGAGAGAAGAUCAAAUAUAAGGUUAGGAAUCGACCGUGGAAAA